This 461-nucleotide ribosomal RNA is filed under the name uncultured bacterium. RNAcentral's name for it is "partial 16S ribosomal RNA". It matches the Rfam family "Bacterial small subunit ribosomal RNA", at positions 338 to 795 of the family's 1533-position model. The record is from RNAcentral.
CCUACGGGAUGCUGCAGUGAGGAAUAUUGGUCAAUGGGCGCGAGCCUGAACCAGCCAAGUCGCGUGAGGGAUGACGGCCCUACGGGUUGUAAACCUCUUUUGCCGGGGAGCAACGGGCGCCACGUGUGGCGCCACUGAGAGUACCCGGAGAAAAAGCAUCGGCUAACUCCGUGCCAGCAGCCGCGGUAAUACGGAGGAUGCGAGCGUUAUCCGGAUUUAUUGGGUUUAAAGGGUGCGUAGGCGGAUCGUUAAGUCAGUGGUCAAAUUGAGGGGCUCAACCAUAAAAUUGCCGUUGAAACUGGUUGACUUGAGUAUAUUUGAGGUAGGCGGAAUGCGUGGUGUAGCGGUGAAAUGCAUAGAUAUCACGCAGAACUCCGAUUGCGAAGGCAGCUUACUAAACUAUAACUGACACUGAAGCACGAAAGCGUGGGGAUCAAACAGGAUUAGAUACCCGAGUAGUC